UGAGGAAUAUUGGGCAAUGCCCGCAAGGGUGACCCAGCAACGCCGCGUGGAGGAUGAAUGUCGUAAGAUUGUAAACUCCUGUUAGAGGGGAAGAAUAGUACCGGUUGGACCGGUAUAUGACUGUACCCUCAGAGAAAGCCCCGGCUAACUACGUGCCAGCAGCCGCGGUAAUACGUAGGGGGCAAGCGUUGUCCGGAUUUACUGGGUGUAAAGGGCGCGCAGGCGGGAUAAAAAGUCAGUGGUGAAAUCCUACAGCUUAACUGUAGAACUGCCUUUGAUACUUUUAUUCUUGAGUUCGGGAGAGAGAGACGGAAUUCCAGGUGUAGUGGUGAAAUACGUAGAUAUCUGGAAGAACACCAGUUGCGAAGGCGGUCUCUUGGUCCGACACUGACGUUGAGGCGCGAAAGCGUGGGGAGCAAACA
Molecule: ribosomal RNA, 422 nt
Filed under: uncultured bacterium
Lineage: Bacteria
Description: bacterial SSU rRNA
Rfam family: Bacterial small subunit ribosomal RNA
Source: RNAcentral